Molecule: ribosomal RNA, 497 nt
Filed under: uncultured bacterium
Lineage: Bacteria
Description: partial 16S ribosomal RNA
Rfam family: Bacterial small subunit ribosomal RNA
Source: RNAcentral
GAUGAACGCUGGCGGCGUGCCUAAUACAUGCAAGUCGAGCGAACAGACGAGGAGCUUGCUCCUCUGACGUUAGCGGCGGACGGGUGAGUAACACGUGGAUAACCUACCUAUAAGACUGGGAUAACUUCGGGAAACCGGAGCUAAUACCGGAUAAUAUAUUGAACCGCAUGGUUCAAUAGUGAAAGACGGUUUUGCUGUCACUUAUAGAUGGAUCCGCGCCGCAUUAGCUAGUUGGUAAGGUAACGGCUUACCAAGGCAACGAUGCGUAGCCGACCUGAGAGGGGGAUCGGCCACACUGGAACUGAGACACGGACCAGACUCCUACGGGAGGCAGCAGUAGGGAAUCUUACGCAAUGGGCGAAAGCCUUACGGAGCAACGCCGCGUGAGUGAUGAAGGUCUUCGGAUCGUAAAACUCUGUUAUUAGGGAAGAACAAAUGUGUAAGUAACUAUGCACGUCUUGACGGUACCUAAUCAGAAAGCCACGGCUAACUACGUG